UUGUUUCAUAUAUGUAAAAAUGUUAAAUAAAUAAUAAUACGUAAAAUAAUGUAUAUACCAAAUAUUUAUUCCGCGCAAAACGCGAGUCUUAAACUAGUAUAUUGCAUGGAAUAUGAUUUGAUACUCACUUAAAAUACAUAUCAAACUUCUUGUUUCAUGCAUUAACAAAAUUGCAUUCCAAAUCUCAAAACAAUAACAAGAUUAAUGUUUUUCUAUUUUCAAAGUUUUAUCUUCAAACUUUUUAAUCGCCCAACCUAUUAAAAGUUUAAAAAAUCAGUUAAGUUAAGUACAAAAGAUUUGAGUAAUAAAUAACUUAAAUUUUUUUUCAAAAUUUAAAUAUCCGAACCCGACCC
Molecule: long non-coding RNA, 353 nt
Filed under: Brassica napus (rape)
Lineage: Eukaryota; Viridiplantae; Streptophyta; Magnoliopsida; Brassicales; Brassicaceae
Description: long non-coding RNA (BNAP_LNC022770)
Source: RNAcentral